GUGCCAGCAGCCGCGGUAAUACGUAGGUGGCAAGCGUUAUCCGGAAUUAUUGGGCGUAAAGCGCGCGUAGGCGGUUUUUUAAGUCUGAUGUGAAAGCCCACGGCUCAACCGUGGAGGGUCAUUGGAAACUGGAAAACUUGAGUGCAGAAGAGGAAAGUGGAAUUCCAUGUGUAGCGGUGAAAUGCGCAGAGAUAUGGAGGAACGCCAGUGGCGAAGGCGACUUUCUGGUCUGUAACUGACGCUGAUGUGCGAAAGCGUGGGGAUCAAACAGGAUUAGAUA
RNAcentral lists this ribosomal RNA (280 nucleotides) under uncultured Staphylococcus sp. RNAcentral describes it as "partial 16S ribosomal RNA". It matches the Rfam family "Bacterial small subunit ribosomal RNA", at positions 505 to 784 of the family's 1533-position model. Lineage: Bacteria; Bacillati; Bacillota; Bacilli; Caryophanales; Staphylococcaceae. The record is from RNAcentral.